This 639-nucleotide small RNA is filed under the name Pan troglodytes (chimpanzee). RNAcentral's name for it is "retained intron". Lineage: Eukaryota; Metazoa; Chordata; Mammalia; Primates; Hominidae. The record is from RNAcentral.
AUCCACUCUGAAACUGGCAUCAGGAGCAAGCUGAGCCUUCUCUGGACUUUCAGCACCUGCUGCUGAAGGUUCCCCGGGGCUGGUCAGAGACGAGGAUCUCAUGGGGCUGUCCCUUGGCUGGGGGGCCUCCACCCCGGCACCACUCUCAACACAGGUCUUACCUCCUGAGAGCCACACCUGCCACAGCCCAAACCUUCCUGCAGCCAGAAGGGACCAGGGGGUGUUUGGAAGAAAAUUUGUGUCACUUCCUCCUUUCCUUGUCUAAGUGAUGAUUUUGUGUGUCACCUUUUGUGUCUAGCUAUGAUCCUGGCAGGAAAAGCCUACUACGAUGGAGUGGCCAAGAUCGGUGAGAUUGCCACUGGGUCCCCCGUGUCGACCGAACUGGGACAUGUCCUCAUAGAGAUUUCAAGUACCCACAAGAAACUCAACGAGAGUCUUGAUGAAAAUUUUAAAAAAUUCCACAAAGAGAUUAUCCAUGAGCUGGAGAAGAAGAUAGAACUUGACGUGAAAUAUAUGAAUGCAACUCUAAAAAGAUACCAAACAGAACACAAGAAUAAAUUAGAGUCUUUGGAGAAAUCCCAAGCUGAGUUGAAGAAGAUCAGAAGGAAAAGCCAAGGAAGCCGAAACGCACUCAAAUAU